Molecule: long non-coding RNA, 943 nt
Filed under: Androctonus crassicauda
Lineage: Eukaryota; Metazoa; Arthropoda; Arachnida; Scorpiones; Buthidae
Source: RNAcentral
GUUUUGUUCCAUAAAGCGUUUUCGGACCCAUGUUAAGUCCCUCAUCCCGAUGAGGGACCACACUUGGGUCCGAGGACGUUUUAUGGAGUGGAACAGUUGCUUGCAUAUGGUGCUAUUUUUUGAGAACUCCUGUAUGACUUCCUGACUCCUGACUCCUUCAUGCAAAGGUCUGAAUCAGAAUUGUUAGCAUGGGACCCUAUGGAUGAGCUCUCAAGAAAGGCUAAUAGAAUCAUAGCAUCAAAAAAGUUUCCAAAAUGCUGGAAAGUUAGUAAAAUUGACUGCCCAAUGCCACCAUAUCUGUUCAGUUUUGUAAAGAUCCAUAAAACCCUAGUGAAGUUAAAGACUUAUGGAGGAUAAGAGAUCAUCAUCCCUUUAUAAUUUGGAAAAAGCUAUAGCAGUAUGGACUAACAAUAUUAUGAAAGGAUGCCAAUAUUCAAUUACAUCCUCCCAGGAGUUCAUAGAAAGACUUCUAGAAUCAGAAUCAAAGACUUUUUUGCCAGAUGAAACCAUAACGGUUAUUGAUUAUGAAUCUUUAUAUCUGUCAGUGGAAAUAGCACCAACGUGUCUUAUGAUGUACAGAUUUAUGAUUGAACACUUGGAUUAAACUGAGACAAAUACUAACAUUCUACAAGAUGUAUGUCACCUGAUAGUAUAUAAUUUGUAUUUUCUGUUUGAUAGGGAGUACUAUAAACGAAAGAUCUACUGGUAAGAAGCCCCUUGAUAGGGGUGAUGACAGAACUGGUUGUCAGAUAUAAGUAAUAGAGAAGUUUUGGAUAGUAUCAGGCUAUAUAUACAUUACAUUGAUGAUGUAUGUAUUAUAUGGAAGACAAAGCAUAGAAUAUUAAAAUUAUGCAUUCUCUAAUGGAUGAGAGCUUAGGUCUAUGCUUAAAAAUAGAACAAUUUGAAGAAGACACUUUCCAUUACUUAGACAUACAAGUAACCA